CCUACGGGAGGCUGCAGUGGGGAAUAUUGGACAAUGGGCGAAAGCCUGAUCCAGCCAUGCCGCGUGUGUGAAGAAGGCCUUCGGGUUGUAAAGCACUUUCAGUGGGGAAGAAAGCCUUGGGGCUAAUACCCUCGAGGAAGGACAUCACCCACAGAAGAAGCACCGGCUAACUCCGUGCCAGCAGCCGCGGUAAUACGGAGGGUGCGAGCGUUAAUCGGAAUUACUGGGCGUAAAGCGCGCGUAGGCGGUCUGAUAAGCCGGUUGUGAAAGCCCCGGGCUCAACCUGGGAACGGCAUCCGGAACUGGCAGGCUAGAGUGCAGGAGAGGAAGGUAGAAUUCCCGGUGUAGCAGUGAAAUGCGUAGAGAUCGGGAGGAAUACCAGUGGCGAAGGCGGCCUUCUGGACUGACACUGACGCUGAGGUGCGAAAGCGUGGGUAGCAAACAGGAUUAGAUACCCUGGUAGUC
This 465-nucleotide ribosomal RNA is filed under the name Vreelandella stevensii. RNAcentral's name for it is "partial 16S ribosomal RNA". It matches the Rfam family "Bacterial small subunit ribosomal RNA", at positions 338 to 795 of the family's 1533-position model. The record is from RNAcentral. Lineage: Bacteria; Pseudomonadati; Pseudomonadota; Gammaproteobacteria; Oceanospirillales; Halomonadaceae.